This 105-nucleotide small nucleolar RNA is filed under the name Thermothielavioides terrestris NRRL 8126. RNAcentral describes it as "Thielavia terrestris NRRL 8126 A. fumigatus snoRNA Afu_304". It matches the Rfam family "A. fumigatus snoRNA Afu_304". The record is from Rfam by way of RNAcentral. Lineage: Eukaryota; Fungi; Ascomycota; Sordariomycetes; Sordariales; Chaetomiaceae.
UUUCGUGAUGAUAAAGGCCCAAUGGUCCGAUCUAACAACCCAGCUCGUCGAAUGCCUCGCCAUCAACGCAGAGUGCAUCUUGAGAUAAGAACCCCAUUCUGACAU